CGAGCGAGAACCAGUCCUUCGGGACUGGGGACAGCGGCGAACGGGUGAGUAACACGUGGGUAAUCUGCCCUCGGCACUGGGAUAGCCCGGGGAAACCCGGAUUAAUACCGGAUAGCCUUUCGAGCCUUUGGGCUCGUCAGAAAAGGUGGCUUCGGCUUCCGGCUGAGGAUGAGCCCGCGGCGGAUUAGCUUGUUGGUGGGGUAAUGGCCCACCAAGGCGACGAUCCGUAGCUGGUCUGAGAGGACGAUCAGCCACACUGGGACUGAGACACGGCCCAGACUCCUACGGGAGGCAGCAGUGGGGAAUCUUGCGCAAUGGGCGAAAGCCUGACGCAGCGACGCCGCGUGCGGGAAGAAGGCCUUCGGGUUGUAAACCGCUUUCAGGAGGGACGAAGCCACUCGGGUUAAUAGCCCAGAGGGUGACGGUACCUCCAGAAGAAGCCCCGGCUAACUACGUGCCAGCAGCCGCGGUAAUACGUAGGGGGCAAGCGUUGUCCGGAUUUAUUGGGCGUAAAGAGCGUGUAGGCGGCCAGGUAGGUCUGCUGUGAAAACUCGAGGCUCAACCUCGAGAUGUCGGCGGAAACCAUCUGGCUAGAGUCCGGAAGAGGAGAAUGGAAUUCCCGGUGUAGCGGUGAAAUGCGCAGAUAUCGGGAAGAACACCCGUGGCGAAGGCGGUUCUCUGGGACGGUACUGACGCUGAGACGCGAAAGCGUGGGGAGCGAACAGGAUUAGAUACCCUGGUAGUCCACGCCGUAAACGAUGGGAACUAGGUGUGGGCGGUGUCGACUCCGUCCGUGCCGAACUAACGCAUUAAGUU
RNAcentral lists this ribosomal RNA (816 nucleotides) under uncultured Actinomycetes bacterium. RNAcentral describes it as "bacterial SSU rRNA". It matches the Rfam family "Bacterial small subunit ribosomal RNA", at positions 63 to 866 of the family's 1533-position model. The record is from RNAcentral. Lineage: Bacteria; Bacillati; Actinomycetota; Actinomycetes.